UUUAUCAACUAGCAAGCCUUUUCCUGUGCCUCUGUCUUUUUUCGGAAGCUCCAGAUUCCCACCCUCCUCUAAGGAUCCCAGCUAGCCCAGCUUCCCACCAAUGGACACUUUACAGCCAUAAGCCUAUUGAAUAAAUGUGGUUGUCUAUGAUGCUAAUGAUAAGUGGCUGACUUGUUAUUUCCUGCCAGAUUUCCCACUGUCAGUUGGAUUUAUGUUCUUCUGGAUCUGACCCUCCUUCUGAUGUCUCCAUGAUUUCCUGUUUCUGGGAACCAUAGAAGGCAAACACAAGCGGCAGUGGUGAGAAACAACCCUUCAGCCAAAUGAAGCUCCAAGCUUGUUUGUACAGUUAUUUGCACGUCAUCUCCCCCAUUAGAUGCAAACCAACAACAAAUCUAAUUAUGUCACAGAAAAAGCACAGAACUUCAUGGUGGAUCCAGGAGAGCCCAACAGUAGAAAGAAGUAAAACAGAGAUACCAGUUUCAGUGAGGAUUAGGCCCAGCAACCCAAACAUAGAUGUUAUAUUCAACAAAGAGGAGGCUUAAUGAACUCAGCAGAAUAACUUGCCCAGAAGAGGUUAUUGGCCUGGCAGAAAUUCAAGGAUCAUGCAGAAUUCUAAUCCAGGAAUUCAUACACCUGAAGGAAAUACAGCUGAGUACCAAGACUGUAAAGGAGCAUCAUGAACCACAGCCGCUCCAUCUAGUACAUGAAGGCACGGGCUUUUCAUCCUUCUUGUCACAACCCUCAUACCAGGAUCGAGGACUGGCCCUGCUUUUGUUGUUCUCGGGAGGUACUUUCAAGAGAGAGCCAUGAACAUCUUCCAUUGCUGAGAGAUGCCAGAUCCGCAGUCAUUUCAUUUUGUCCUAAGCUAAAUGGGAAUGUUCUGCUCACCCUUUUCCCUGUGUUGAUGUCUGAAGAGAAAUUAUGCCAAAAGUAGUGUCCAAAGGACAUAAAACUUGUCUCGGCUGGGCCUACCUUCUGAAUCCUGUUUUUCAGCACACGGCGUUUCUUACCAUAAAAAGCUAAGAAGUUGGAAGUCCAUAUGGUGUGGUAAGUGACAUGUCAUGUGUUUUCUUUCUGGUAUCUGAUUAAUCCUUGUUUUGUAAGAAGGCCCUGAGAGCUACUUAGUUCUUUCUGGGAACAUGGAUAACUAUCACAUUUGGCAAUCCACUCUCUCCAGAAU
Molecule: long non-coding RNA, 1180 nt
Filed under: Phascolarctos cinereus (koala)
Lineage: Eukaryota; Metazoa; Chordata; Mammalia; Diprotodontia; Phascolarctidae
Description: lncRNA (ENSPCIG00000032326.1)
Source: RNAcentral